GUCGGGACCUAAGCCGAGGCCGAAAGGCGUAGGCGAUGGACAACAGGUUGAUAUUCCUGUACCACCUCCUCACCAUUUGAGCAAUGGGGGGACGCAGGAGGAUAGGGUAAGCGCGGUAUUGGAUAUCCGCGUCCAAGCAGUUAGGCUGGGAAAUAGGCAAAUCCGUUUCCCAUAAGGCUGAGCUGUGAUGGCGAGCGAAAUAUAGUAGCGAAGUUCCUGAUUCCACACUGCCAAGAAAAGCCUCUAGCGAGGUGAGAGGUGCCCGUACCGCAAACCGACACAGGUAGGCGAGGAGAGAAUCCUAAGGUGAUCGAGAGAACUCUCGUUAAGGAACUCGGCAAAAUGACCCCGUAACUUCGGGAGAAGGGGUGCUCUGUUAGGGUGCAAGCCCGAGAGAGCCGCAGUGAAUAGGCCCAGGCGACUGUUUAGCAAAAACACAGGUCUCUGCGAAGCCGUAAGGCGAAGUAUAGGGGCUGACGCCUGCCCGGUGCUGGAAGGUUAAGAGGAGCGCUUAGCGUAAGCGAAGGUGCGAAUUGAAGCCCC
This 543-nucleotide ribosomal RNA is filed under the name Escherichia coli. RNAcentral's name for it is "partial 23S ribosomal RNA". It matches the Rfam family "Bacterial large subunit ribosomal RNA", at positions 1383 to 1921 of the family's 2925-position model. The record is from RNAcentral. Lineage: Bacteria; Pseudomonadati; Pseudomonadota; Gammaproteobacteria; Enterobacterales; Enterobacteriaceae.